UCUAAUAUGGCAGAAUAGUGCAUUGAGUUUAAGCCUCAAAAAUAAAGUUACACUUUUUUUAGAA
RNAcentral lists this transfer RNA (64 nucleotides) under Oomorphoides metallicus. RNAcentral's name for it is "tRNA-Leu". Lineage: Eukaryota; Metazoa; Arthropoda; Insecta; Coleoptera; Chrysomelidae. The record is from RNAcentral.